GGCCAGCCCUAUUCUCGGCUCUCUGAGUCGGUGUAGGGUUUGGUCAUCCGUAUGGGAAGCUAGCUCGGCCUUCACUGGUCGGCUAGUGGAUCAUACACUUUACUUUGAAAAAAUUAGAGUGUUUAAAGCAAGCAUUCGCUUGAAUACAUUAGCAUGGAAUAAUAGAAUAGGACUUUGGUUCUAUUUUGUUGGUUUAGGGCCGAAGUA
This 207-nucleotide ribosomal RNA is filed under the name uncultured fungus. RNAcentral describes it as "partial small subunit ribosomal RNA". The stretch from base 84 to 207 matches the Rfam family "Eukaryotic small subunit ribosomal RNA", at positions 736 to 864 of the family's 1831-position model. The record is from RNAcentral. Lineage: Eukaryota; Fungi.